CCCUUAGAUGUUCUGGGCCGCACGCGCGCUACACUGAUGAAUGCAACGAGCUCUACCCUUGACCGAAAGGCCCGGGUAAACUUGUGAAACUUCAUCGUGAUGGGGAUAGAUUAUUGCAAUUAUUAAUCUUCAACGAGGAAUUCCUAGUAAGCGCGAGUCAUCAGCUCGCGUUGAUUACGUCCCUGCCCUUUGUACACACCGCCCGUCGCUCCUACCGAUUGAAUGGUCCGGUGAAAUCUUCGGAUCGCUGACCAAGAUCCAGCAAUGGAGCUUGGUUGCGAGAAGUUGAUUAAACCUUAUUAUUUAGAGGAAGGUGAAGUCGUAACA
RNAcentral lists this ribosomal RNA (327 nucleotides) under uncultured eukaryote. RNAcentral's name for it is "partial 18S ribosomal RNA". It matches the Rfam family "Eukaryotic small subunit ribosomal RNA", at positions 1470 to 1796 of the family's 1831-position model. The record is from RNAcentral.